UUUUUAACAGAGGAUAAAAUGUCUAUCAGCAUAACCAAGAAGAUUUGGGUUACUUUCACAAGUUUAGCUUUUUUUCUACUUCAGUUUGAAGCCUUCAUCUGGUCAAGCAGCUUUCAUUUCUCUAUUCAUUUUUAGUCGCAUUCAGCUAUUCUGGCACUGUUACCAGCGUUCAUAUAUUGGAUGAACUACUGAAACUCUUUUUGAUCAUCACUGGAUUAAAAGUAUGCAACAAAUGGCAUAUUUCAUGAAUAGAUAUUUGCAUAUCAUUUAUAGCUCAUAUUAAAAUGAACCCACAAACCUCAUUUUCAGAACAACUGAAUAACUGUUAUAGCAAGACAACAGGAAGAAUGAUUGUGUGUGUGGGGGGGAGGAUUUCCAGGUUGCAUGACUUCUGAAUUGAAAGAGGAACUUUAUAUGGCUUUCUGUAAAAAGAAACACCAAACGACAGUUUGGCCAUUUCUUCCAGCUGUCAAACGGACAUAGGUGAUAUAAGUUCACCUACACAUUUUGAUCAUGGAUGUAAAUCGCACUUGCUCAGGAGUUAAUUCUACAGAGAGUUGCACUCCUGAAAACCAAUCUUCUGUUGGACUUGCUGUUGGCUUGCCUAUAUUCUUUGUAAUCUUGUUGCUGGCGGGGAUAGCAGCACUAUUGUGGUUUCGAAGCAGAAAAUCAGUUUCUAACGUCGAGUUAUCUAAUAAACUUAAGAGCCAAGAUAACAGCCACAUGGAUCAUUCCAGGGAUUCUCCGUACAGUGGAUACGCCGGAGGGCCUCAAGCCACACCACAGAGCCCAAUCUAUGAGAACUUUCAGAGCGGACAGUCCAGUCAGCAUCAGUUUCAGAGGAGUGCCGUACAACAUGAGGACAAGCACAGAGUCCACCAGGCGCACCUGCAGUGUGAUCCGCAUGAUGCAAUCUACAGUAACGAUCCUGCCCUCUUCCACCCAGAUCAGACAGAAAUCUCGGAGGAUGUUUACAUCAUGCCAGAUGCUUGAACGCCUGACAUUGCUUGCUGUCCAGUAUUAUUUCUUAAAAUGUAAAGUAGAAAAAUUUGUGCUGGCAUGAUGUGAAAUAGUAAGUCUUUAGUUUCAGAGGGAAAAACCCCAUAUAUCAUUUUAUCUGAAUGGAAAUGUAUAGGGUGUAGACGUUCUUCUGUUGUAUUAUAAACACUUUAAUAGGGUAGUUCAACCAAAAAAAGGAACAUUUACUCGCUGUUUACUCAACCUUAAGUGGUUUCAACCCUUUAUGAGUUUAUUUCUUCUGUUAAACACAAAAGAAGACUGUUGGAAACCGGUAACCAUUGACUUCCAUUGUUGGAAAACAAAUACACUACUAUGGAUGUCAGUGGUUACAGGUUUGUAAACACCAUCUUCUUUGGUGUUCAACAGAAGAAAGAAAAUCAUAAAGGUUUGGAACCAGUAAAAGAAAAGUAAAGAAUGACAGAAUAUUCAGUUGUGGGUGAACUUUCCCAUUAAGAUUUGUUUGAAAGAACCACUUACUCUGGAUAUUCAUUCAGUUUUACUUUAUUUUACAUAAAAUAGUUUAAACCUUGAAUAAAUGUGCUCCAAAUAUAAAACCAACUUUUAAAGUACAAUCUGAACAAACUCUAAAACAAGUUAUGAUCUUGAUCUUUCCAAUGCAAACAUCUAAAGAUUCUUAAAUCGCUACAUUUACUAAAAAGUUUCUGUGAAACCGAUAGAAAUGAUAAAGAGUUCAUGGUAAAAACAAGAACAAAUAUCUGUCAAUGGGCUCUGAAAGUCAACUCAAGUCAUUUCUACUGCAAUAACCGAUAUUUGUUUUUGCUUGCUUAACUCAAUUUCGUUGUAUUUAAUAAAAAACAAGACCUAAUAUCUUUACUUUGCAUCUCAAGAAAGUGCAUCUUGAUUUAAGGAAUUUUAGAUAUUUGUAUGGGAACAGAAGAGCAAUGUUUUGAUCUUGUGGUUGCUUUUUGCAGUGCAUGCAACAUUUGUAAGAUUUUCUGCUCUAAUAUAAGUCAUUUUAAAGGCCUUAAAACGUUGAAGAGUAAGAAAACAUUUUUUCCAACAUAUCAUUUUGAACUGAGUGAUUGGAAUGCCCUCACAAACAUUACAUCAACCAACCUUUUCUGUAUUGACUGAACUCAGUGAGACAGCAAAACAUAAUCAUGACCUGACUGAUCACAGUUUAACAGGUGUCUCUGUCCAUUUCAUGCUGGUACAGACUGGUUUAUGCUGGCUUGGUUGACCAACAUAGUGUUUUCCUCUAGAAAUGCUUGUCUAUAUUUUCAAACACAGUUUCUUACGUAAAUCUGUUACAGUUUCUUCAACAACAAAAUGCAUUACGACUAUUUUAUUAUUAACAGUAAUAAGAAAUGUUUCUUGAGCUCAAAAUCAGCAUAGAGUGAUCUCCAAAGGAUUAUGUGGAAAAAGAAAUGUAAUAUUAUUUCACAGAAGUACAGUUUUUGCUGUAUUAAUGAUCAACAUCGGUCCACAAACAUUCAAAACCCACUAAGCCCAAAUUGCAGUAAUGGUAGAGAGUGUCCACGUUGUGUAACACGCCACAUAUUUCAUAAGAAUCUUUUUUCUCAUGCUUUUAAAUUUAUUAGUUGACUUUAAUAAUCAUCCAGACUGUGUCUUUUUAUUUUUAUGUCACUGUGACUCAUUGAAAUCGGCUUUCUUUAGCUACAAAUUAGCUGAGAUGACUAAACGAAAGAAGUGGAACAUUAGACAGUAGGUCAGCUCAUUUGGCAGUUCGGUGUCAGAAUGUCUCAGUGAGAGACGGAGAAAGCUUGACCUAAUCAUAAACAUUUCUCUGAAAUGUAGGUUUUUUUCAGUUGCUGCAUAUCCUGUUAACAAGUCACUGUGUCAUUUCCCAAUCUUAGAUCAAUGAGAUUGUUGAUCACAUUAAAUGAACUUUAAUUUACCUCAGUAGUCAUGAGAAGGCUAUUCUUCCAAAUUACAUUAGAAUUGCAUCAGAAACAUUAUGCUGAGUCAGUCCCAUUAAAGGGACAGUUCAACCAAAAAUGAAAAUUUGCUGCAAUGUACUCACGCCGUUAAAAAUGUGGAUGAAUUUCCUUCAGUAGAAUGUAAAAUUGUGGUCCUUUGUGAUUAAUGAAAUGUGAGUUAAUGCUGUCAUUGCUACAUGGAGGUCUUAUGAAGCAAAAUGCUUGAUUUGAGCAAACACUAAACAUUAUUAUUAAUCCACAUCCGCAUGAGUAUUGCAUAAUGUUGUAUAAUAUUGUUGAAUGUACAACAAUGAUGUAAAUAAUGCUCAGUUUUUUUGUUAUAGUCAAUUUGCUUUACUUCCUUUAGAUCUCGAAGAAUAAUCAGAAGCCUCAAAAAUGGUGUUAUGUUAUGAAUAAAACAGAUUCAAAAAUAACCACAUUUUUGCUAACAAUCCACUUUAAUGUUAACCUGAGGAAGAAGUCAGCUAAAUCUUAAGUAAGUUAACAGUAAAUGUUCAUUUUUUGGUGAACUGUAUAUUUUAGAUGGCAGCACUGCCUCCAGAAGGCCUCAAAAAUAAGGCUCGUGUGUGAGAAUCAUUCCACCACAUCUUAUAUCUUAUUAUUCUUCCUGACAAACAUUUGAUUUAUGAAAUAUGCCUGUCAUCCUUGUCAGUCAGCGAUUAGUUUAUCUAACAUGUUGACAAACAAGGCUGAAGGAGAAAGUUUGAAUAAUCAUUCAUGUCAAGUAGCCAUCAUUUUCCAAAGAAAGGAUUUGUAAAUUUGUGGAUGUCUCAGCAUUUCCUGUAUAAUUAUAAAACUUGUUAUCUAUUUAAAAUGUCUUUAAACGUUUCAUGUAUACGAGGCAUUAUACAUAAAACCCAAUACAGAAUAACGUUGAGUACCAUAUUGUCUUUCUAAAAUGGUUAUCACAGAAUAGAAGUAUUAAUAAAGUCAUAUAUAUAAUUUUUAA
Non-coding RNA from Danio rerio (zebrafish), 3891 nucleotides. Lineage: Eukaryota; Metazoa; Chordata; Actinopteri; Cypriniformes; Danionidae. The record is from RefSeq and is a predicted model, not a curated record.